Suncus etruscus (white-toothed pygmy shrew) is the source of this 107-nucleotide small nuclear RNA. NCBI's taxonomy places the organism in Eukaryota, Metazoa, Chordata, Mammalia, Eulipotyphla, Soricidae. The record is from RefSeq and is a predicted model, not a curated record.
CUGCUCGCUUCAUUAGCACAUAUGCUAAAAUUGGAACGAUAUAGAGAAGAUUAGCAUGGCCUCUGUGCUAGGAUGACACUCAAAUUCUUGAAGCGUUUUAUAUUUAA